CGUACGUAGGCGGCUUGGUAAGUUAGAGGUGAAAGCCCGGAGCUCAACUUCGGAAUUGCCUUUAAGACUGCUUGGCUUGAACGUCGGAGAGGUGAGUGGAAUUCCGAGUGUAGAGGUGAAAUUCGUAGAUAUUCGGAAGAACACCAGUGGCGAAGGCGGCUCACUGGCCCGAUACUGACGCUGAGGCACGAAAGCGUGGGGAGCAAACAGGAUUAGAUACCCUGGUAGUCCACGCCCUAAACGAUGUCUACUAGUUGUCGGGGAUUAAUUUCCUUGGUAACGCAGCUAACGCGGGAAGUAGACCGCCUGGGGAGU
Molecule: ribosomal RNA, 315 nt
Filed under: Skeletonema menzelii
Lineage: Eukaryota; Bacillariophyta; Thalassiosirophyceae; Thalassiosirales; Thalassiosiraceae
Description: partial Bacterial small subunit ribosomal RNA
Rfam family: Bacterial small subunit ribosomal RNA
Source: RNAcentral